UGAUGCUUGCCUGAGAGAAAAGAGGUGGGACUGCAGAUAAAGUACUUGAGGAAUGUGCUUUGAUAGCUUCUUAUAGGCAAAUAAAACAGCACAGCUGAGGAAAUAAAGUGUAAAAACCACCGGAUUAGAAACUGUUGUGUGUCUUUCCCUUUUGCUUUUCACCAUCUGCUUGAAAGCCCCUGCAGAAGAUGCCUCGGUUUCAAACAGCAGGUUCAAAGGCACAGCUCCAGAUAUCUGAGCUAAAGGGAGACUGAGUAUCACGUCUGGGAAAGAGCUGAGGAGGUAUGAAGCCAGUUCCUAACCUGCCAGGCACCACAGCAGACUGUCGUAGCCAACUGAAGGCUGAAUAAUGGUAACUCAAUAUUAACCUGCUUCUACUACUUCCCUACUGUGUUCAUAUUCAUCUUUUCUAGUAUCU
Molecule: long non-coding RNA, 418 nt
Filed under: Coturnix japonica (Japanese quail)
Lineage: Eukaryota; Metazoa; Chordata; Aves; Galliformes; Phasianidae
Description: lncRNA (ENSCJPG00005008189.1)
Source: RNAcentral